ACUUAAAUAGCUUAUAUAGAGCAUUAUAUUGAAGAUAUAAAGGAAACUAAGGUUUUUGAGUA
RNAcentral lists this transfer RNA (62 nucleotides) under Scraptia sp. SCR01. RNAcentral's name for it is "tRNA-Phe". Lineage: Eukaryota; Metazoa; Arthropoda; Insecta; Coleoptera; Scraptiidae. The record is from RNAcentral.